AAAAAUUCUUUUUAAAACGGAUAUAAUUUCUAGAAAUCGAUCUCUACUUUUAAGACAAGUGAACUUUGUCAUGAAUUCAGCAAAUGAAAAUUUAUGAUUGGAAAUGAUGGCUCCAGGAAAUAUAAAUUGACAAGUGUAAAAGAUGUUGGUUCCUGUGUAGAGUUGAUAAGGAUAUAAUGAUCUGAAGGACGUUGCUGUGUUAGAUUUCUUUGCAUUAACUAGUAAAAGGGUGUCGGGUUAAUGUUUACCUGGACUUAACUAAAAUGUUUCGUUUGAGAUCAAAAUCUUUUGUUGAAAGAAAAAGAAAAAGCAGCACCAAUUCGGCAAACUCACUUGUACUCAGACUAUCAUAUUGUAAUAACAUAAAAGAUUUUAGACCUCGAUGUGCAAGGUACAGUUAUCAAUUCUUUUAAACAAUUUUAUAAUAUUUUCGUUGCAUGUUUACUUUUUUUCUUAUUUUUUUAAAACUAUUUUAGGAUGUUUCUGUUGCAUGUUUACAUUUUCUCUUUUUUUUCUGUUUGUUUAGCCAAUUGUCGUCAUAAUGCCACUUGUUUAAUGUUUGUACGAAAUAGUCAUACGUAAAAAGUUGUACAUUUGUGCAAAACAUGCAUGUUGACUAGCCACUACUUUUGCGCGAAAUAAUUUAAUUUUGAAUUAAACAAACUGAUAUUUAAAAAAAAAAUGUAGAAUUGUAGAAUUAUAAUUGUUUUUUUAUGAUUGAAAUACAUGUGUAAAAUUUAAACUAAAAACCGACAUUUAAGAUAUGAUUACCAUCUCCGAAAAAAAAUAUAUAACGUCCUUGAUUUUCUUUUGUAAACCUUUCGUGCAGAAAAAUCAAGUCAAUGACAUUUUCUUGAAAUGAACGAAGAAAAUAUGCAAAUGACAGAUCGGAAAUGCUUGUUAAUGUUUUCCAUACGGGAAAAAAAUUCUCACGAACAUGAAGCAAGCGAGGUAUAGAAUGUACUGCAAGUUCAAGCGACUAUGUACAUUAAAAGCAUUUCAAAUUAGAGGCGGUGACAUACCACAACUGUUGUGAAACACUCAGACAAUGUGAAAAUUUAGUUCACCUCUGCACUUGUUUUCCAAUAAAACUGGGAAGAAAGUUUUAUCUUCAAUAAUUAGGUUACAAGUAUCAGGAAUUAGCUACAUGUAGAUUGCCCCUGUCGUUAUCGUUUUUGGAUAUAUGUUCUGGACUUCACCUGUGCAUAUAGUUAUCAAAGGUACCAAGCUUUUGAUUUGAUACGCCGGACGCACGUUUGAUCUACGUAAGACUUAUCAAUGACGCCCAUUCAAAAAUAGUUAGACAGUCAAACAAGUAUAAAGUCAAAGAGCAUUGAGGACCAUAAAUUCCAAAACGUUUUAUAAACUGAGAUCGUUCCUUGCCAGAAAAUGCACUUUGAAUCAAAUUUAAUACUUUGCAUUGAUUUUAAAACAUUUAAGCAUUAUGACUAUCUCCUUUUUGAACAUACAUUUAUAGUAGUAAUGAGUUUAAACGGUAGAAACCUUUCAAUCUAAUGUGUACAUCAAAUAUAUAUUAUAUAAAAUUUACAUACGUUGUCGGCAAAUAAGUAAUUUAUUUUUACGAGGUUACAAACAGGAAGAAAUUCGAGACUCGGAGAUUUUUUUUCUUCGUGUGUUUGAAAGAGUAAAAAAUAAAUUUGAUUUUUCAGUUUGUUAGCAGGACGAAUAUCGAAUAGAUGUACAAUGUCUCUAUGCACCUGUAUUUUUAUGAAUAAAACAAGAAAUAGCUAAUUGCUGGGAAAAGGUUCAGCAUAACUUGUAGAUGUCGUCUUUUUAAAUAAUGUUGCGGUUGACUGUUGAGUAAUCCCUACGAAGUGUGAAUUUUCAAGCAUCUGCUUGGCUUCAAAACAAAUAGAGAUUCGAUGGCGAAUUGUCGAUGUCGAUAUUUGUCUCCAUCUUUUUUCCUCAAAUAAUUCGUUUUCAAUUAAUAAGAAACGAAAUAGGUUUACUUAAAAAUAAGCAAAUCACAAAUAAGGUUCCAUCUUUUUUAAGGAAAGCGGUCAUCGUUUCUUUCAUGGCAUGUAUAGUUUGCAUUGAUCUAACCCCAACCAAACACUAACCACUACCCACUGCUGGUAGACGUUUCGUCGUCCCCUCCCAGAGGGUAUCACCAGCCCAGUAGUCAGCACUUUGGUGUUGACAUGAAUAUCAAUUAUGUUAUAAUUUUAUAAAUUUCCUGUUUACAAAAGUAUAAUUUUUUCGAAAUACUAAGGAUUUUAUUUUCCCAGGCAUAGAUUACCUUAGAAGUAUUUGGCAUAACUUUUUGGAAUUUGGGUCCUCAAUGCUCUUCAACUUUGUACUUAUUUGGUUUAAUAACUAUUUUGAUCUGAGCGUCACUGGUGAGUCUUAUGUAGACGAAAAACGCGUCUGGCGUAUUAGAUUAGAAUCCUGUACCUUUACUAACUAUUUACACCACUGGGUCGAUGUCACUGCUGGUGGACGUUACGACCAGCCCAGUAGUCAGCACUUCAGUGUUAAUAUGAAUAUGAAUUAUUCGGUAAUUUUAUAAAUUUCCUGUUUACAAAAGUAUGAUUUUUUUUAUACUAAGGAUUUUCUUAUCCCAGGCAUAGCUUACUUUAGUUGUAUUGGCAAAACGUUUUUUGGAAUUUUGGGUCCUCAAUGCUCUUGAACUUUGUACUUGUUUUGCUUAAUAACAUUUUUGAUCUGAGCGUCACUGAUGAGUCUUAUUUAGACGAAACACGCGUCUGGCAUAUUAAUUUACAAUCCUUGUACCUUUGAUAACUAUACUGAUAACCUAUUACUAGUACUUUACACACUUUGUACUCUAAGUAAUAUGAUACUGUGGUAGAAGUUCAAAAACAUUUCAUACUGCAGAAACGUCUUAGGUCUGCAUAUAAAUUGCUUAUCUUACAAUUUUGAGGUGGUUUUUUUUAUAGCAUUUAAAGAUAAUCUUUUUCUUAUUUCUUAGCAAUCUGUUUAUACUGGUUAGUAUAAUAGUCUCAGGUUUAUAUAUAUACAAAUAGAAAGAUUUGAUAUUAGACUUUGAUAAACAUUUUUGCUCUUCGAUCGAUUUAAAGUUUGAAAGAGACAUGUUCAAUUAUUCUUGAAUUUGAUUUAUAAUAUAUGAAAGAAGUAUGAACCAUUUUUCAACAAUUCUUUUUCGCGAGGUCAAAUUCCGAAGGUUCAUAAAACUUUAAGAAAUUUGAAUAAUUAAAAGACUGAAUAAUAUACUUAAAAAGAUAUUUGCAAGGAUUUUCAUAUAAACACAAAACCAAAUUGAUAUUCUAUGCGAUCAUCUGGCAUAGAGGGUCAUUAUGUUAAUUUGAAAUGUUUCUUUAACUUGUGCAUCGAAAAAUAUCGUGACCUGAAUUGAAUUUAAUUAUAUCUGAACGGAAAUAGCGAGUCAUCCAGUUAAGAAGUAAGUAGUUUAUCAUAGUGCCACAAUCUAAUAUACAUUAUCAUAUACAAUAUAAACAUCUUUAAACCCAUAUUAAAUACCUGCCUUUAAGACAUAUACGACACUUUCAUUCUUUUCAUAAUAAAAAUAUAUGCUAUUAUGAAAUAUCAAAAAUGAAUAUUGAAAUAACAAUUUUUAGUUUUCAUAUGAUACUAAAAAUUUCAAAUAUUUUUUUUAUACGUAAAUAAAUAUUAAAGAUUUAACAAGUUUUACUGUGUUCUCAGAGGAAAUAUAUAUAGCUUUACUUCAAAUGCAGUUUUAGUUUUGUUUUAUUGUUUAAUCUGCAGACACUGCAAAUUUGCAACAAUUUCCCAAAAUUAAAAUGUUUUAAGGUGGUAGACCUUGGUUCAGGGAGAUAACUCUUUAAAUCAGUUAAGCGUUUGUAAAAGUCAAGUUUCAUCAAUGUUUUUCAAGCAUUUACAUGAAACAGAUUGAAAAUAAUCUAUGUAACCUAGAAGCUUAGAAUAUAUUUAUGAAAAUGGUUGACACAAACAUACUGAUGAUUUUAAGAGUUAUUUCCCUUAACCUAGGUCUACCACCUUAAGCCAUUUACACACCUCAUUUUAAGCUAUAUGACAUUGUUAAGAUAUAAAACAUAGACUUGAAACAUAUGAGUCUGUGAAAAGGGUAAUCUGCAAGAAAUAUUACUAUAGAGGACAGGGAAUCUGAUGCUAUAAUUAAAUUGUAUCCAAUGAAGAAACGAUUAAUUUAAUACAUAGAGUACCAAGAAUAAAACAAGAAUAAAACAAGAUAUAUGCAUACUUGUAUCAAAUUAAAAUCGAGCCAAAUAAACUUAACUUGUGAAAUAUUUUGUUUUUCAUUUAUGAAACUCGUUCUUUAAUUGAUUGCACCCCACCGUGCAUCUAAUACAUUUUAAGAAGAAAGCUCAUUGCUCCUUAUCCCCAUUUCUAAACGGAUGCAGGCAUUUCAAAUGAUCUUGAUGUUAGCUAUAGCAAUUGCUCUGCAAUAAAUUUGUAUAUCUUGGCUGAUGUGAAUAAAAGUGUACAUUUGAAUAGGAGAGAAGCUAUAUACCCAUAUUAAAUUAUAAUCCUGGUGCCUUUGAUAACUAUUUACACUACUUGGUCGAUACCACUGCUGCUGGACGUUUUGUCCUCGAGGGUAUCAACAGCCCAGUACUCAGCACUUCGGUGUUGACAUGCAUAUCAAUUAUAUGGGCAUUUUAAUAAAUUUCCUGUUGACGAAACUUAAAACUUUUCGAAAAAAAAAUAAGAAUUUUCUUAUCCCAGGAAUAGAUUACCUUAGCCGUAUUUGGCACAACUUUUUGGAAUUUUUGGUCCUCAAUGCUCUUCAACUUUGUAUUUGUUUAGCUUAAUCACUAUUUUGAUCUGAGCGUCAGUGAUUAGUCUUUAUGUAGACGAAACGCGCGUCUGGCGUAUAAAAUUAAAAUCCUGGUACCUUUGAUAAAUAUUUUUACAGUUGCCAACAAAAAAUAGACUAAUCGGGCAAAACUAACACUUUUAAUCUGAUGGUUCCUCUGAAAUAAUGUCUUCCACAAUAUAAUCCACUAUUAAAACUGCGUUAGCGAAAUGACAGGUCACAAACACCGAGACCAAUAUUUUCCAGUUACAAUUGAUUUGUAAUCAUUCAGUACUUAGUCUCAGCUGGGAGGUUAUAUGAAACCUCCUUGGUCUGAGUACCUAAACUAUUCCCAACAGUUAUGUGCAGAAUGAAUUAAGUCGACAUUUCACUUUUAUUUACAUGUAGUGCAUUGCUUGCUCAACGUCAAUGUGAUUAGAUUUGAAGUCAGAACCAAACGUGAAUUGAAAUGAGUGUAAUGAUUUAAGGAUAUUCCUGAUGUCGUCACAUAGAAAGAACACAUCUGUUUGCAGAUCAUUCGAAAAGAAAGGAUAGUUUGCCUGCGUAUUGUUUGAAAAUCAUAUGAGAAACAGAUUCUACCACCAAAUCUCGAGUAAUAAGAUAUUUAUCCACUCACAGACAGUUAUAUUUAAAUAUUUAAAACGCUCGGCGAGCCUCGCAUUUAAAAUUUGAAAAUUUAAUUGUCUCGCGUGGAUAAAUAUCGUAUCACACGCGAUGCAGUUGUAGACUCCAUAUAUGUCCAUGAGGGUUGCAUUGUGAUAAACACAUUUACGCGUUUUAUCUGCAGCUUGAUGUUUUCAAUUGAUCGAAAUAUAAUAAAGCUUUUUUUUAAAUAGGGAAGGACUGAUCUAUCAAACAAAUAAUUGUCUCUUGUUAUUGGGCGUUUCACUUUCCAUAGACGAGAUGCUAAUCAAGCUCCUUUCCAGCCGCACCUGUCUGCAUUUGCAUAUACAUGUUUUUAUUUAUACAUCCUGUACAACCAAACGUGCGAACUUAUGUGCUAGGUACGCCAUAAUUGGGAGUUAUAUCAUUUGACUAAGUAAAGCUCUGGAUAUAUUAGACACAUUUAUUCAUAUUGAAAUUUUUUUAAUAGAAGUAGUAAUAAUGCUAAAUCGUUCAGCUUCCAGCAUGAUAGGCCAUUAGUUAAUUGUAAAUAGAGAUAACCAACAACUUAAAUUAUAAGGAAAAUGAAAAAUCUAAUUGUUUCGACGAAUUAAAUCUAGCGAUGCCAUUUAAUUCGAAUUUUAAUAAAAAGAUUUCCAGCAUCAAGUCAUAAUAAAACCUUUAUUAUUAUGACUUUUAAAGCUGCUAAAUAACCAAUGCUGUAUAAGAUUAUAGUUCAAGAUCUAUAUACGUAUAUGUAAAUACAUGAUUAGUAAAAAAAACACUUAUUUGAUAAAGAUCAUAUAAGAUCAGUAAGUGCAUGAAGGAGCGGAGGUAUAAUGACUUUAAUAUUAUGUAAGUUGUGUUUAAAACGGACAUGUUGUAUAGAAAUUGAUCUCCACUUUUAAGACAAUGGACCGGUGUUAUUUAAUCAGCAAAUGCAAAUUAUGAUUGGAAAUUAUAGGUUCAGGAAAUAGACAUUCUCAAGUGUAAAGGAUGUUGAUUUCUGUGUUUAAUUGAUAAGAAUAUUACGAAAUAAACGUUAUUGCUGAGUUCACUAUAUUCGUUUAAAUUGAAAAUGUGACCGAAAGUAUUUUUUGGACUAAAGUAAAAUGUUUCUAGUAAGAUCAAAGUCGUGUAUUACAAGAAAGAGGAAAAGUACAAUUUCAACAGCAAAAAUUGUAACCAGACGUUCUUAUUGGAUUUACCAAAAUGGUUUUAGACCUCGAUGUACAAGGUACAGUUGUUUGUGGUUCUUUUUUUAUGUUUUUCAUUUGCCUCUUCAAGUUUCAUGCUUUAUAUGAACGCUUAAUAAUGCUAAAACUAUAUUAUAUUUCUUUCACGUGUAUUAAUGUAUAUGUUCGGGCAGUCAAUAAUAGACACUUAUGCAGUCUACUUUUCAUAUAGGUACGCAUAGAAUGUCAGAAAUGUUUUAUUUAUAUACAAACUUGAAAUCAACCAGGUUUGCUAUUUCUAAAAGUCGUUUUGUUUUUGUUUCGAAACCAGUAUAAUCCGGCAAGGCUCGUAACUUUGUUAACCCUGAAAAUUAAAUGCGGAUGCUCAAUUUGAUUUUGAAUUAGAUAUUUGAAUUCCCAGUCGUUUUCAAAGAAAUCGAAACUGUCUGCAUUGAUAUAGGACAUAUAGACCUAAACGUGAUGUAAACAGUCAUCUUAUAUUUUCUUCUGUAAACAGGAGGGAUAACUGGAUGCAUACUUUACGAAAUCACGUUUUAACCUUUUAAUCGUACAAAAAUUUUAUAGAAUGGAAAAAUAACAAAAUUAAGGGCAGACAAGGUCGGAAGAAGCUGGAGGUUUUUCGGGCUUGGACGGCACAUAUUGAACGUUCUUAAGGCUUGGCUUUUGAGUAAACAAGCAUCUCUAGCGAAGAAAUGACAUGUAUCCUGUAGUUCAGAAAUUAAGAAAAGCAACUGAAGUUACAUCGCUUUUGAGAAAACAUUACUUGAAGGGUGUUGUAUUUUUUGUUUUAAGUCUGCACUGAGUGCAUAGCACCCCUCGACACACGUAUUAUACACUUAUGAUGUCAUAAAUUGAUACUGAAAAAAUAAGGUGUGAUAUAUCGGACACAUUAUCUCCUUUUGGAGUGGUUAAUUGAUUUGUACAAAUAAAUUUAAAAAAAAAGAGAUAUGGAGUAUUUCAAGCAUGUCAACGAGACAAUUAGCAUACCAUCGGUUUAAAAACAGUGAAAGAAUUCUAGAGUUCAAUAUUCGAUCUUAAACAAAAACAUGAGUAUGAUUAUAUCAUGUCACAGUGUUCACAAUUUAUAUGAUUUUUUCCAAGAAAAGUUUUGAAUGAUUUAAACCGAGAAUAUCAGAUAUCUGCCACCAAACUACAACUGACAAGGUUCUGUGUAUAUAUAGGUUUAUUCAAAUCAAUUACUAAAGCUGACAAUAGAAUUUCUAUAAAAUCGAUUUAUUAUACCAUAUGCAAUCGUAAAAUUAAUUUUGUAGAUAAAUCAAAUAGAAUUGUACAACAAUAGCAUUAAUAAAUUAUGCCAUUGUUGUACAAUUUUACAGUUAGGCUUGAAGUUUAUUUAGUUAUAGUUAAUAAAAAGUUCUUAUAUAAAUAAUGUGUAUUCAUAAGCAAAACAGUGAAGGUGUGAAAUCAUGAGGUUAUCAUAUAUAUUGACGUUUAAUAUUCUAUUUUAUAAAUGCUGACGAUGCGAAAUCCAAUUAUAGUGAAAUCUUAGUAAAGAUAGAUACUUAAAAAAAACACGUGACGUGUCCAUAAAAGUCUGGUCAAAGGGCGACAAAUCAAAUCGUUUUUAAGUUAGGACUCUAAUUACAGAUGCAUUUCAUGUUAUUACACGUAGACGUAUGAUAAUGCACCACCCCCUUCACACUCAUCCCCCUAAAAAUGUUAUGAAAGUAAUGUAUGGUCGCAGAAUAAGAAUUCAUCUAGUAUUUGCACUUUAGUUGUUAAUAUGUUAUGUACAAAUGUACUUACAAAGUCAAAAUAAUUAUCGUUCAAAAUACAAUAUUUUUAUUACAGUCGACUUUGAUUAUCCUGUAAUGUUACCCAAUGGACAUUGCCACUUCCAAAUCCAAUUUCGGAAAUAAUCUUGAAUUCAUCAAAAUUGUACAAUAUUUACUAGGCAGCUAAAUUCAUGUGCAACAUGUACAUUGAGCUUAUCAUCUACAUCCGAUUUCACCUGGAUAGAUGUACUCUUGAUAAAGCUAGUUGGUCUAGCGAAAUAUUGCGUUCAUUUUUAUCGCAUUGUAAAUAUCUUUAACAUUCUAAUAUUUACAUACUAAAUAGUGUCUUAAAAUUACAUUGUUAGGCAAUUAAAAAUGAUAAAGAUACAUUUGUACAUAUUUUUUUAUUCAAAUUAAAGGGCCAAUGAUGUGGAAAGCAAUUUAUGACAAUGACUUUUUAUUAUGAUUUUGAGACUGUAAAAAUAUUGACAAUCAUAUAUAAAUAUACAUUCAACCAGUUAAAUUUUAUGAUCUUAUGCUACAGCCUGGCAAGAACCAUAAGCUUAUGGCUACAAAAGCAGUAAUAAAACAGAUUAUGUAUAUUUUAAAAAAAAAAUAAGAAUAUGAAGAGUUAACUUUUUACUCGGUUACAUUAUAAAGUUUGUUAUUUGAAAUGAGAAGUUGUUCCUUCUUAAUAAAUUGUGAAGUUUGUGUUUAUUCACCUGAUUCCGCAUUUAUAAUAAUUUACGUGAACUUGUAUAAAUAUACAUGUGAACUAAGAAUGAUGACUCGCUGAAUAUGCAUGACCCUUUGGUGGCCCUCGGUGGCCCUCGGCUUUUGUCUGCACUUUGGUCGGGUUGUUGUCUCUUUGACAUAUUCCACAUUUCCAUUCUCAAUUUUAUGAUGUAUUUGCCCCUGAACGUUAAAUAAACGCAUUAAUAUGUAUAUGAUUAACUUAUUUUAGUAGUCCCAUCUUACAUAAUAAGUUUGAUGUCAGAGACACCAUAAAUUUCAAGCGAUUAGUUUGAAAAAAACGUAACAAUGUAUGUUUUCCUCGUUACAAAUUCCUCAUUGAAUACUAAAAAUAUAAUUAGAAUUUAAUUCGUUUUCUUCUAACAUGCACAAAUUUGCUUGACAUUUCGGAAAUAUUUGCUCUAGGUCAUCCUCAUAGUUAAAAGUAACUAAAAUCAAUCUAGAGGUCAAAGUGUGAACAUACUUGAAGUAUUUCUGCAUUAACAAUGAAACUUAGAUAUGAUUUACUACUGAGAAGGUGCAUCUGCACAACACGUAGCAUUCAAAAUGUAUGUCAAUGAAGGACGACGUCUUAAUAACACCUGCUAUGACUCAGUUUUAAAAGUUACAUGUACUGAAAACAUGUAUGAAGAUAGUACAUUUACGGUUAAUCCAUAUUUUUACAAUUAAAGUUGCAUAGUACCACCUUUAAAAAUCGUGGAUCUGCGUCUAACGUACCGGUAUCAAAUCAAGAUUACAUAAGAAGUCUUAAAAGCAAACAAUAUUUAUGUGAAACAUGCAAUAAUAAUAGUCUGCAUGAUAUACACAAUAUUAUUUAUUAUGAUGUUAGUGUUUAGUGAAAAAGGGGGAGGGGCGGGGGUGGGAGACAAGAAAGACAACGUCAAGCCGAUGAUAGAAAAAAAUGGAACAAUGUUUUAACCAUUGUAUAUACUUUAAAACUCGUCAGCUUUGUUCUUAGUUCUAUUCAUUUUAUGUUUGUGUAAAGAAGAAAAUUACACAUAUAAACGUUGUUUAGUGCAAGACUUUUUAUUUAUUAUCAUAGAGUGUUAAUAAAUAAUAAUAACCUGAAUUGCUGUAUCAUAAAUCAUGACGAAAUAAUAAUACAUUGAUUCCUCGCUGUUAAUGAUCGCCUUAAAUUGUUUUCAUGAUAAAUGCAGGCGGAUACUAUUAGAAAUUGUUUUUGAUAUCGAUUUAAUAUCGAUGUGCUAUAUAUUGAAAAUUGUAAAUAUCUACUUAAUUGGGAGAUUUCUGGACACUAUAUGACAAGAUAGCAUGGUUACAAAUCCUUAAGUAGGCGUCUACUUUACUAUAGUGUUGUAGGUGUUUGGUAAAGUCACACUUUUUAUUCCUAUACUGUUCCGUCUGGAUAGAAAUAAACUAUGGAGGACAUUUUUAGACUCCGUUCUAAAUCGUUUACAAAUUUUAAGAAAAAAUCUCCAGUUUUAUCUAAAGUUGAUGCGUUAAGGAGAACAACUUGGACAAAAGAGGACUUUUUUCGUCGAAGAUGCGCAAGGUAAAUCUUUUGUUUAUAUUGAUUUUUAACUAAUUGAAAGAUAAAUGUUUGCAGUUUCAAAUUUUGGGGAAAAUUUUGAUUUUAUAUUUCCAAUUAUUACGAGCUUUUUUUUUUAAAUUUCAAAAACUAACUGCUAUUUAAAUAUCUAAAACUUAUUACUCUCUUUAUUGUAAUAUUAUCAAAAAUUGUUUGCACAUUAACAAAGAUGUGAAAAAAGAUAUGAUAUACAAAUGUACAUUGGUAUUUCCAAUUAGAUCUAAGUUUUAAAAAAAAUAACUUGUGUUUUGGGGUCACUUCCCCCACCUUCCUUGUGUAUAAGCCUUAAAUUAAUUACCUAUAAUAAUAGCUUUUUGUUGGCAUUUCUGGCAUUACUCAAGGUAAAACAGUUCAGCAAAAUAAAUCUCUACCUACCCUAUCUGGCCCAAUGAGAAAUACAUAAACACAGCCAUUUUUGUUUGGCCUAAUGCCUGGUUCUCUGCGGUUUCCUGUCCAUCUUCGUUUGUCACUGUCUUUUUGAGAAAAGGAACCUCUUCAUCAUGACUAAACUGACACAUACAAAACAAUCACUGCGCCAAGAUUACGCAAUAGAGAAGCAGAAGCUUCGUGAAAUUAUUAUUAAGAGAACCCGACAAAAAUUAGGAAAAGCAUUCUAGAUAUUACUUCAUGUUUUCGUAGCUGACACACCAAAAUGUUCUCUUAUAUACAGAAAAAAAAAUGUUAUAAAAAAAAACUUUUUGCAUGUUUAUCAAAUUGAAUCUUUAUCAUUAAAUACUUUUAUAUGAUUUAAUCCCUUUCGAUAGCAAACCACUUUUCAUAAAAGCAAAAAAAGACAAUUUUAUACUUAAACGCUUUCAAUAACCAAAUGAAACAACAGUUUUAUUUGAACAACAUAACAAUUACGAUAAAUUGCCCCGUCAGGUCUAUUUCUUACAAUAUAGCGUUUGUGUUAUUUAAUGAUAGUUAUUGUGUUUGGUCGUUACCUAGAAAAAACAGAUCGAACGAGAAUAAUCAUAAAAUAACAACUAUGCAGGAAAUACGCUCUUGGGAUUUGAAAUAUCACGUAAAGUGUGAAAUACCACAAUGCUUGCUUGGUGAAACUAAUUCUCAGUGAACAUUUUUUUUGCAUGACUUUAUUUCAAAGGAAAGAUUGUUCGAUUUUUUUUAGGCCAGGGGAGGUGGGAAGGGCGAUUUGGGAAUUAAAUUGUUCCGAUAAAAACUGAAAAAAAUAAUUACACGUCAUCAGGACCGAUUUUAUGUUUUACACGUCAUCAGGCUCAAGGCCGAAUUUUUGAAAGCCAAGGACAUAUAAGAACUGAAAAAAAUGAAUGUAUCAUUCUUUUAAUCUUAUUAUGGCCCCGCCGUAAUGUAGGAGGUAUUAAACGUUUUACUCUUGUCCGUCUGUACGGUACGUACGUCCGUACGUCCCAAAAUUUGUUCCCGUUCUCUAACUUUGGUUUACCUCAACCAAAUGUUAUGUAACUUAUACACAAUAAAAUUGAGAAAGGAAAUGGUGAAUAUGUCAAAGCGACAACCACCCGACCAUAGAGCAAACAACAGCCAAGCAACAAUGUUCAUGUAGCGAGGACCCGCACCUAGCUGGCCUAAAAUAUGCAUAAUAGUACAGUGAUAAUGGACGUCAUACUAAACUCCGAAUUAUACACAAGAAACUAAAAAUUAAAAUCAUACAAGACUAACAAAGACCAGAGGCUCCUGACUUGGGACAGGCGCAAAAUUGCGGCGGGGUUAAACAUUUAUGAGAUUAACCCUCCCAUACCUAGCAAUGUAAGAAAAGUAAAAGAAUAACAAUCGCACAUUAAAAUCAGUUCAAAGAGAAGUCCGAGCUGAUGUCAAAAGAGUAACAAAAAAAUAAAUAAAAGAAAAUACAAAAUACAACAGACUAUAGCAGAAGACAAUCCAGACCUCAAUUAAAUGAUUGAAAUUAUGUCUUCAUCAUAAAUAUCAGGUACAAUCCCUCCCUUAGGGGUUAGUAUCAUACUAUAUAAAAAUAUGAAAGAACAUAACGUGCAUGCCAACAACUGUUUUUGAAAUAAAUGUGUUAUUCCGAUGCAACCUAUCAGUGAAUCAUGUUAAAGCAAAAUAGCAUCUUUAAUGACCUGCAACAGUAUCGUAACUAUAUCCUUUUAAAAGUCUAUUUAAAGUUUUGUUAGUUUUCUGAGGAAUACUACAUUUUUGUGCUUUAAGAAUAUUCCAUAAAAUUUUGGAUGUGAAUACCUGAGUAUAAGAUUCGCAUUUGAUUAGUUUACGAAUAUUUCCUUGAUACCGGUGAUAAAUAGUAUGAUUUUGACAGUUGUGAUAUCGAAAACCUGGUGAAUAAUUUUUCAGUAAUACAUAAAUUUCUUCUCGCUAAAUAUUGUACAUACGAGCGAAUCGUACAAGUGAAAUAUAACACCAUAGAUGUGACAAGGGAACAUUCUAAAAGGAUAAUUAACAUAGAAUAAAAUCAUCUCUUUUAUCAUAAAUUUUGUAUAGCUUCCCGUUAGAUAUAGAGAUAAUGAUGAGGAAAGGCAGUGGUCUUGUUAUCAUUAGCUUAUUUAAAGUAAGUUCUACAGGAAAAUUUCUUUAGUAUACAUACUGAAGUCGUCAUUAUUUAGAGCAAUAUAUCAUCCAAAUAUCUAAAGUAUUGUUAAAUUUUUGUAUCAAAUGUUUUUUGAUGGUCUUUGCUAAUUUUAGUCAUAAAUUGUAACUCAAACAAUACAAACAGUCGCAAUAAGUGGUGCACAGUUAGUCCCAUUGGAAUUCCAAUAACUUGACGAUAUACGGAAUCUCCAAAGCGAACAAAAAUGUUAUCAAGUAAAAAUUCAAGUACAUAAAUAGUAUCAAGCAUGUCAAUUGACAUAGUGCUUUUGUUAUUGCUACUAAAAAAUGAUCUAAAAAGAGUUGAACAUAUGUAUCGCAUUCCGACUUUUAAAUGCCCAUUAAUAGGGAUGUAAUUUUUUCUUAAUAAGAAUAUGAGCAAAGUGGUAUAAGGUAGAAAAUCAAACUUGAACAGAUUCAAAAUCACCAAUAUAUGCAUGCAAUUUAUCAGUACUUCCAACGAGUUUUUGACACUCCAAAAGUAAUUAAUUCCACUAUUUUCAAGCUUAUUUGAACAAUUUAUAUCAGGUUUUUAUUGUACCAAGUGUACUAGUAAGUAAAACAGACAAUUUAGUAGUUGAACAAUGGUGGAAGAUGAAUAAAUCUAUAUUUGUAAGGUUUUGUGCAGCUUCGGAAGCCGUACAUAGUUGGACUUUCAUUGUGUUUGGUUUCUGUAAAGAAGUAGCUAAAAGUUAUGUUUGUAAGAUCGUUUUCUGAAAAUGAAGUCAGUUGGAAUGUUGGUGAAUUCGUGAUUUCCUUUGCAGAAACCUCUAUAUAAAAUUUACGUCAAACAAUAUGAUAUUUAUUAGCAGCUUAUCACCGGACAAAGAACAAUUCCUUGGCUAGUUCUGUAGUUUAUUUUAUACGCGAAAUAGGGUUUUUAUAGUGCUUUUAUAAUGCUUAUUACCACAAAACAGAUCAAGUUUGAAUUUUAGGGGUUUCACUUUAACCGUUCUAUAGUUAUGCCCUUUACAAAUGAAAAAAAAAUGAUGAAUUUUUUUGUUUUCUUUUAGUUUUCGUUCCCUUACGUUAGUUCGCCUGGACCAAAUGUAAUGAAACAUAAAUGCAAUGCUAAUUACCACAAAAUACAGAUCAGGUUUGAAUAUUGGUGGCGUCACUUUUACCGUUCUAGAGUGCUGGAAAAAAUGCUGAUGUUUUGGUUUCUGUUCCCUAGCUUAAGUUUGCCUCAAUUAAAUGAUAUGAAUCUUAUAAUCAAUGCUUAUUACCACAAAACUCAGACAAAGUACACAUUUGGGGAGGGUCACUUUUCCAGUUCUUGAGUUAUAUUCCUUUAUAACGUUAUGUGUAAGCGGGGGCAUCAUCUGUGUCCCAUGGACACAUUCCCCAUUUAUUUAUCCUCGAGUAUGUCUGUUCAUUGUAAUUGCAUCAUAAUUAAGGUCUUUCCUUUUACAAAAGGGAAAGACCUUACUGUAUUUCUUCUGUUUAUUAAGGUCUUUCCUUUUUACAAAGGGAAAGACUUACUGUAUUUCUCUGUUUAUCUAUAUUAUUAUUAUUAUUAUUAUUAUUAUUAUUCUUUUUCCGCAAACUUUUACAAUUUAGCCGCAUUACCGUAAGACGUGUCGCUUUCAUGUCACACUUUGUAUCCGUGAUGAAUACCUAUCUGGAACUCACCUGUUAGUCGAAUAUUUGUCGGUUCGGAGUAUCCCUCCGACCCAAAACCUUGUUAUCGUUCCAAACGUACCGUAAUAGGUAGAAAAAAAACAGGGUGAAAUUUGUUCAGGACCUGACCCCGGUUCUUCGUUACAUUUGAUCGAAAAGAUUCAACGACUCAUUGGUAGGGUUAUGCCCUAUGAAAAUUAACCGGUGUCGGUUGGCCACCAAAACUCAGAAACCGUAAGUCGUAGACACCUAGGAUCUUCACCAUUCAUCGUCAGUUCAUGUGACGUCAAAUAAUACCUCAAGGUCAAAUGUGUAUGUUGACCUUGAACUUUGACCUAUCAACUUGUUAUGGGAUAAUCUCAAAAACCAUUAUACUUACAGAAGUUUGAAUAGUGGAAAUGUUUGGGUCAUUAUGGCGCAACAUUGUUAAUUUUGACCAAAGAGAUUUGACUUUUAAUAGGGGAUAACCCUGUUUUAGGUUUCUGAAAAGACAAAUCAGCUUUUACUAUGUACCAAAGGUCCUAGACCCAUGGGGUCUAUCAGCAUGACAUUGGGACUAAUGCCUUGACAAAGGUAAAGGUCAAAGGUCAAGGUCAUGUCCAGAUAGCGAAUUAAGUGUUUUAACCUCAUAUAAUGGAUUUUAGUGGGUUUUCAAGCUUUGUACGGUUGACCUUGACUUUUUCAAUACAUUCUAGUCUAUUAGAACAUGUAUUUUAUUACAAAAGGAAAGACCUCUCAAUUGUUCAGAACAAUUGACAGUUUAAUUAUUAUUAUUAUAUUAUUAUUCUUUUUCCGCCAACUUUGACAAAAUUUAGCCGCGUUAACCGUAAGACGUGUCGCUUCAUGUUCACACUUUGUAUCGGUGUCAUGAAUACUAUCGGAACUCACCCUGUAGUCGAAAUAUUUUGUCGGUUCGGAGUUAUCCCUCCGAAACCCAAAAGCCUUGUUAUCGUUCCAACACCGUAACCGUAAUAGUGAGAAAAAAACAAAGGGUGAAAUUGUUCAGGACCAGACCCCGGUUCUUCGUUACAUUUGGAUCGAAAAGAUUCAACGACUCAUUGGUAGGGUAUGCCCCUCUGAAAAUUAACCGGUGUCGGUUGGCCACCAAAACUCAGAAACCGUAAGUCGUAGACACCUAGGAUUUCACCAUCAUCAUCAAUUCAUGUAUCUUUGAAAAAUACCUCAAGGUCAAAUUGGUAUGUUGACCUUGACCUUUGACCUAACACCUUGUUAUGGGAUAAUCUCAGAAACCAUUAUACUUACAGAAGUUUUAAAUAGUGGAAACUGUUUGGGUCAUUAUGGCGCAACUUUGUUACAUUUUGACGGAAGAGAUUUGACUUUCUGUAAGGGCAUAACCCCUGAUUUAGGUUCUGAAAGACAAAAUCAGCUUUUACUAUAUAACCAAAGGUCCUAGACCGUGGGGUCUCACAAUGACAUUGGGGACUAAUGACUUGACAAAGGUCACAAGGUCAAAGGUCAAGGUCAUGUCCAGAUAGCGAAUUAUGUGUUUUUGACCUUAUUUUAAGCAUUUUGAGUGUUUUUAAUGUUUUUAAAGGUUGACCUUGACCUUUGACCUUUCAACUUUUUUCGAUAUCUCAAAACGGUUAAUCUUACAGAAAUAGUAAACAGUGAAAAAUGUUAAGGUGACUGAGGCACAACUUUUUUACAUUUUGACCGAAAGUAUUUGACAUAUUCUUAAGGGGCAUAACCGCCGUUAACGGUUUUCUGAAAAGUAAAAUUAGCUUUAACUCUUGAACGAAAGUCCUAGACGUCAUGGGUCUUUUACAAUGACAUUGGACCAAUGACUUCACAAAGGUCACAAGGCAAAAGUCAAGGUCAUGUCAAAUUAUCGAAUUUAUUGUUUUUUGUCAUUUUUAGCGGUUUUAUGUGUGUUUGAGAGCUUUUUCAUGCAUUCUACGCCUAUUGGACAUGUACUUUACAUUUCGAAAAGGAAAGACCUCUCAAUUGUUCAAGAACAAUUGACAUUUUAAUUAUCUGCUUAUAUUUUAUUAUCUAUUUAUAAGUAUUGGUCUCAGUCGAUAUGUUGUCAUUGGAACGUACGAACUGGGAAAAUAUAUUCAACACAUGUGGUGUAUAGAGGUCAGGAAGGGGAUUUUGGACAAGUACUAGUUCAGAAAAGCUAGGUUAAAUUUCCUGAGCCGCUAAUUUAAAAAUAUAAAAUAAGGAGAUGUCGUAGGAUUACCAAUGAAACAACUAUCUACCAGAGACCAAAUGACGUAGAUGUUAGCACCUAUAGGUCACAGUACGACCUUCAACAAUGAACAAAACUCAUACUGCAAAUCAAGCUAUAAAAGGAUAAAUAUAACAAAACUUAUAAAAAAACAGCGGUCUAACAAAUGUAAAAGAAUUAAUAAUAAACGAAAAUCAAAUAUGAUAUGUAGCAACAAACGAUUACCACUUAAUUACAGGAUCUUCACUUGGGACAUGCUUAUUCAGAGUGUUGCGAAGUUAUACAAGUUAGCUCCUAACCCUUCCCUAACCUCGGACAGUGGUGCAACAACACAAUGCAACAAACAAAAUCAUCAUAAUAAACAGUAACGAACGAUCAUCACUUAAUUACGGGCUACUAAUAUGGGACAUGCACAUACUGAAUGUAGCAGGGUUAAAAGACUAAUUUUACUAAAUACACUAGCCAUAAUACCAACCAAUGUAAAUAAACGAUAUCUAAAUAUAUUUUUUUCAAAACAUGUAGAGCGCUCCGGCUGCCACUAAACUAUCUAUAAUUCCUGCUUUUUGUCAAUCCAUUUUGUCAUCUUACCAUGUCAAAAAGAAGACCCUUGUUUAUCUCAAUCACAUUCUUACACAAGAUGCAACCGUCUUUUCAUGCAGGAUUCAAUGGCCUUUUAAAAUCACCAAUUUGUAUGUUUGGUUGAAAUAUAACAUGUAUAAACCGUGAAAUUCACAAUCCAUGAUUGCUGCAUUAUAGAAAUAAGAUCAGGUAGAUCCCUGUCACAAUUUGAACAAAUAUGAUAGUAAUGAUAUACUAGUAAGUACACACAUUAAUAUUCAUAACAUAAAACUUAGUACUAGUAUAUAAACUGAGUUUUGCAAACAAUUGUGAGAUCAGACCCUUUCACUGAAUUUCAUAAUAUUGAACAUAUAAUGAUAUAUUUCGUAAGUAUAGGGAAUGGCAUUGUGGGCUGUUAAAGUAUGUCUAUACAUGUAAUAAAAUUAACGGUACCAAUUUUCUUGCACCAGAUGCGCAUUUCGACAAUACAUGUCUUUCGUGAUGCUCGUGGCCAAAAUAUUUGAAAUCCAAAGCUUAUAUAAAAGAUGAAGAGCUAUAAUCCAAAAGGUCCAAAAAGUAUUGUAAGUGUAAACCAAUCAUAAAGACAUUUGUAGAUUCCAAUGAGACACAUUCAAACCGUUACAUAGCAAAAUUAAUGCUCAAUAUUGUCCUAAUUUUCCAUUUCCAAAAUACACGUUUUUAGUUAGCAAACUUGUAAAUGUGUGACAAUUCAUGCCGGCUUUUUAACAUUAUAAUUUGCACCUCUCGUACAAAUGAUUAUUUGCUGCCAAUGUUGCUAGCAAAUAUUACAUACGUAAGGACAUAAGGCGUCAGGACAAGAAUUGAAAAUAAAUUUAAAUAAAUCAGAAAAUGCUCGAUGAAGGCGUCGAAAUAGUAAGCUCUGCAAUUUAAAGUGCAAAAUAAGGAAGUAAAUGUAAUGUCAAUCUCACGACAAGACUUUUAGUAUUGUUUCAAAAUGUUCAUGAUGCUAAGGUAAGAAAUUUUUAUGUAACAUGCUGUAGUUUCAGACACACAAAAAAUGUGUAUUUUUGUGUGUUCUUAGGGAUUGGUCAUUAUCUUUCACCAAAACAAGGGGCGCUACAAAUUAUUUUGAAAGACUAGAAAAAAAAUGUAAUGACCCCCCUUCUUCUAACAUAAAGAAACCUCACUCCCCCUUUUUGUCCAGGUUCCAAAAUGUUUUUUUUAUUUUAUUUUCCUGCCCCCUGGAUAUAGAUAAUGACCGGUCCACUAAUACUACACACACACAAACGCACGUAUUUCGUCUUUAAUCAAACAAUAUAACUAGGACUGCUUUUUUUACUUGAAAAUUUGUUUAUCCAUGUAGCGGACUUUACUCAAGCUGUGGUAAAUAAAUAGAAUAUGGGUAGCGAUAUAGAAUAGCUGUACAUAGCUAUCAGGACUGAGACUAAAUUGGGGUUGAAUGAGUACAUUAAUGGACAUCUUGAAAUCUUUAAAAUGAACGGGGAGCGUUUUCAGAUGCAAAACCGACAAAAUCACACUUACGGCUUACAGUCGAAAAACAAUAUUUCUUAGGAUAACAGAUUCGACCACAAGACAAUUCUGGAAAAUGUGGCAUUUAAAAAAAUAUCAAACAUAUCGUAUGAAAAUUGUAUGCCAAUAAGUACAUAUUGAUAAUUUAACUGAUACUGAUCUAUAAUAUCCUCUGCAUUGAGAGUAGGGGGAGGAUGGCAAAGUAACUGAUGGGGUGGUUGCUGGUGGGCGGGUGUUUGCGAACCCAUCCUGGCUAAAGUGAGAACUGUUUGACUUCGUCAUUUAGAUAUUUCACCUUGUAGUUACAGCAACGUAUGAUGAUCUACGUUGACAAUUGAAAGUUCAAAAAACAAUUUCAGAAGGAUAUAUUAUAUAAUAUGAUAUGACUUAAUAGUGUAUUUGGUAUAAUAAUUGAUAAACUUUCUAAUAUUUAGAAAUUUAUUCUGCACAUGGUAUUUAAUCGAUUUAAACAUUGUAAUACGUGUUCAGUUUAAUAUCGAAAAAUCAAUGUAUUAUAGCUAAAACCACGCGUUUUAUCGACAGGUCAUCUUCAAGAAUUAACUCGUCAAGAUCAUAAAUUGAACGGUCUUUAGAAUGGGGAGAUCUAAACACUAAAAUAAACUGUCCAUUGUAAAAUUGUCAUACUGUUGCAAGGAGAGGAUGUAAAAUUGUUUUCAUCAGAAUUUCACAAUCAAGAAAUAUGAAGACAAUACACAAAAAAGACACCCGUAGAUAAUAAAAUAUCAAUAUGUGUACGUCGUAGUGUUGCUCGUUGAUGUAUAUCGUUUUCGGGCGUUGGUGGUCUGUGACUGACACUGUCAUAUAUUUUUUGGUAAUCCCUCUUACCUUUUUUAUGAUACAUAUGUCUGUAGAUAACAUGUAGUAUACACAAAAUGUAGUAUCUAAAGUGUUGGUACUGACACAAAACACCGUAUGUGAAUUAAAAAACUUUAUAAAAGUACGCAACACCUAUCCAUGCUAUCGGUCGUCUUCUCUACAUUGUAAGUUGAAAGCUGUGGUUAUGAGUAAGACCCGUGUUGUGUCAGGAUCAAUUAGAGAUAUAGAGUCAUAGUAUAAAACAUAUCCCGAAAAACUAUUUUAAUUUUGAUAAUGAUUGUGUAAACAAAUGAGGCAUAAUAGUAUAUACUUUCAGGAAUCUUCGGAGUCACUUUUUGAAAUUGAAGACCGUUACAGUACAUUGUAUUAAUUUAAUAUAUUAUGCAGGUUUCUAGAUAAGUAACGAAUAAUGACUGUAAAAUAAUGUAAAGGUUACAUUGAGUAUCAGUAAAUAAGUGUAAAAAUUUUAUAAAACCAAAGCACAUAUAUUGAAUUCCCAUCCCGCUCUUACAUGUACUAGCCACCUUCAUGUUCGUCCUCCAUAGCGAUACUGAUUGUGAUAUAAAAAAGAAGAUGUGGUAUGAUUGCCAAUGAGACAAUUAUCCACAAAAGACCAAAAUGACACAGACAUUAACAACUAUAGGUCACCUUCAACAAUGAGCAAAGCCCAUACCGCAUAGUGAGCUAUAAAAGGCCCCGAUAAGACAAUGUUAAACAAUUCAAACGAGAAAACUAACGGCCGUGUUUAUGAAAAAAUGAACGAAAAACAAAUAUGUAACACAUAAACAAACGACAACCACUGAAUUACAGACUCUUGACUUGGGACAGGCACAUACAUAAAUAAUGUGGCGGGGUUAAACAUGUUAGAUGUUUACCGUCGCGUUCGAUGUAACGCCCGUUUAAUUCCAAAUUAGAGUUUGUUAAACUUUAUAAAGGAAAUACAAUUAAAAUUAUAUGCGUCAUGAAUUUUAGAUGCACACACAAUUUUAAUCAUGCUACCUACAUUUUACGAAUCCCCUUCCCUGCUCUUACAAACUACCUUCAUUUUUUUUCUCGCUCACCAUCGAGUUUUUUUUCAUUUCCAUUCCACUUGAAAAAUAUGACAAUAGCAAUAAGGGGAGUGAUGGACUCGACGGAUUAAGUCCAAAUAAGAUUUGUGCUAAACUUUAUUGAAAUACAUUUGAGCUGAGGAAAAAUACAGGAAAACGUAAUAUCAUUUUCACCUCAACAUGACAGUUUUAUUCAAUAAAAAUAUAUUUCUUCAUUCAAACCGUUAAUGUCUGUCUUAUGAAUGAAAGUAUAAAUAUGCGAGUUUGAAAAGACAUGGCUUUACCGUAUUAAAAAAAUCUUAGUCAUGUACUGCAAUACUUAUUUACUAAUGUUUUUGUGUUUAUUUAAUCUAAAUUUUCAACCAACACUCGAAUUUACGAGUUAACAUUGUAACAGUUUGUUUUACCAAACAACCCUAUUUCAUUUGAUGCUUGCUUUAAAUGAUAAAUGAAUUAUGAUAUAAAGUCUAAAACAUAAUAUCAAAUGUUCACUAUCAUCAUUAUAAUCAUACUCCAUAAAUAUCGAAAUAUCCCAAUUAAUUUGUAAUCUCAUAUAUCGUGUAAAUGAAAUGUAUUUUAUCUCCUUUGCGAUGACAUACAGAAAAGUAAAUCAAACUGUUGGUUGCAUAUAGAUUUAACCUUGACUAUGUUUCCAAGAAAUAUUAAUCAAUUGUGUAAUUUAAUUUGCAUUAAGAACCAGAAAAACAUUUAGAACAUUUAGGAUGAUUGAUAUUUCAUAUUUCAUUUCUCAUGUUUUUCUUUUACAGCUCUCCGGCCUCUGACCUUACCGGAAGACGUGAUGUGUUCAGCAGACGACAAUACGGUUCUGUAGAACAGUUAAA
This 21782-nucleotide long non-coding RNA is filed under the name Mytilus galloprovincialis (Mediterranean mussel). Lineage: Eukaryota; Metazoa; Mollusca; Bivalvia; Mytilida; Mytilidae. The record is from RNAcentral.